RNAcentral lists this transfer RNA (87 nucleotides) under Bacteroidota bacterium. Its description in RNAcentral is "Bacteroidetes bacterium tRNA-Ser". It matches the Rfam family "tRNA". From Rfam's summary of the family: Transfer RNA (tRNA) molecules are approximately 80 nucleotides in length. Their secondary structure includes four short double-helical elements and three loops (D, anti-codon, and T loops). RNAcentral also lists the same sequence under 2 other names. The record is from RNAcentral. Lineage: Bacteria; Pseudomonadati; Bacteroidota.
GGUGAGGUGGGUGAGAGGCUGAAACCACCAGUUUGCUAAACUGACGUACGGGAAACUGUACCGCGGGUUCGAAUCCCGCCCUCACCG